Molecule: small RNA, 164 nt
Filed under: Marmota monax (woodchuck)
Lineage: Eukaryota; Metazoa; Chordata; Mammalia; Rodentia; Sciuridae
Source: RNAcentral
AUCGCUUCUCGGCCUUUUGGCUAGGAUCAAGUGUAAAAAAUAUAUAUUUCUAGAGCCAGAUCCUACCUAGCAAUGCCCUGACAUAACAUCUGAUCCUUUAGGAAAACAGUAUUACAAUGCUUACUCAAGCACAUGACAUCCCUACAGAUUAUUCUUAAUAAUUG